AUGGCAAGGGAAGCUUGUGUUUCGGGGGACAAUGAUGUGAUUAAGUGGGGUCUGGGAGGAAAAACUUCUUUCACCACUAAAUCUGUUUACUCUUUCCUGGAAAACAAUAUUGCUGGAUGUGAUUACAGAUGGAUCUGGAAUGCCAGAAUUCCUCUGAAGAUUCAAAUUUUCUUAUGGCAACUCUUUCAGAACGCUGUUUUGACCAGAGAUGUGAUGAGGCAUCGUGGUUGGAAAGGAAAUCCUAAAUGUUCCUUCUGUGGUGGUCGUGAGACAUCAAAACACUUGUUCUGUACUUGCCCUGUUGCGAGGUUGACUUGGAGAACAGUGGCAUGCAUGUUUGGCACGGAUCUGUGCCCUGACAGUAUAUGGCAAGCUUAUGUGUGGUGCUUUACUUUCUUCCCUGGUGGAGAAGAAUUUUACACAGUGGGUAUAGCCGCUGUGUGUUUGGCGGUUUGGACCAGCCGCAACAGGGCCACUUUUGAGUUCAAACCUCUUAAGAACCCAUUCGAAUGUGUUUUUACUGCUUGUGCUCUAAUGUGUUAUUGGGCAGGACUGCUGAAACAAGAAGACGCGGCGACCAUGAGAGACGGGGCAAAGAUGCUGAAGGAGAAUGUGUCGAUGAUGAUGAGAAUCUGCGCGGCAAGCGGUGAAGAAACGGCUCGCUGA
This 666-nucleotide ribosomal RNA is filed under the name Triticum aestivum (bread wheat). RNAcentral describes it as "partial small subunit ribosomal RNA". Lineage: Eukaryota; Viridiplantae; Streptophyta; Magnoliopsida; Poales; Poaceae. The record is from RNAcentral.